Anolis carolinensis (green anole) is the source of this 2296-nucleotide long non-coding RNA. RefSeq lists it as uncharacterized. The record is from RefSeq and is a predicted model, not a curated record. The transcript is spliced from 4 exons. Lineage: Eukaryota; Metazoa; Chordata; Lepidosauria; Squamata; Anolidae.
CUGGGUUAAGUGCAACCACAGGCUUCAAUAAUCAAGGCUGAUCAGUUUGAGUGAUUCCCAGAAGGGUGUACAACUGGGGAGAGUUUGUCCUAUGAGUUGGGCUUACUUUAUGUUUGCUCCUGGAACCACAAAGCUCUUGACUGGUAGCAGCUACAUUUCAUGCUGGCCUGCAUCUCUACAUCCAAGAAGCAUUGGAGGAUUUAUUUCUUUGAAGUCUAUGAACUAUAUGUCUGACUGAAAGAUAGUACUGAUGGUUUAACCCACUGGGUUUUUUAAAGUCUAUGCAGAGGAAAAGAAUGUAUUACUCACCAGUCCAUCAGCCAGCUCCCUUAUCUCUGAAAAGAGUCCUCAGUAGCAACAGAAACUACAAUAGCAACAGAAACAGAUAGGGUAAGCACUGAGGGCAUUUUAAAUCCAGAAAGAUAUGGGGAGCAAAACAGCACCAUGCAAGUGGGAAGGAUGGAAACAGAACUCACAUUUUCCCUAAAUGGAGUGAAAGGUGGAGUUUCCAACUCCUUUGGGAAACAUCUUCAGGGAGAAAAAAAAUGGAAGAAUUCUUGAGUUUGUCUUCUAUAUCUGUGGUGCUUCUUUCUGCCUGCUGGAGCUCAUGAGCCUGGGAUGGGAUUACUUCAGGAGAAACAAUGUUUGCUGAUCGAUAUCAGAUGGCAGAGAGGAAGGUUUCCUUGACUGAAGAAUGGAUGGUUAUUGCAGAAGAUGGGCUCGGUGAGGAGUCCAUUGUGAUGGUGGGUGUGUGACCAGGGUGAUGCAUGUAUAUGUGUGUAUAUAUAUAUAAUAAUCAGACAACAUUAUAACUUAUGAAAAUGUGUAAUCUCUAGUACGGUUCACCAUCAGAAUUCUGGCAUGCAAGGGGUUAUGAGCAUUUAGCAACUUAUGAUUAAUUUCUUGUAUUAAAGAGGCCCAGUGCAAAAACCUUUCCAAAUGUAAAACAGUACAGAAAGAAGCCUAAAAUCUGCUCUGAAGUGACCCCCACUCUAAGUUACUUUCUGCAAGGAAAUGGGAAGUACACCUCAACAGAGCACCAAGAAUUGAGGUAAUAAUCAUCUUCCUGUGCACAUUAUGCUGAUACCUGAAGUCAUUGCAUUGACAUUUUAACCUGGAGCUUGCUACUGAGAAGCUAUUUUUUCCUGAGGGUGGGGAGGAUGCCUCCCUCAUCCUCUUACAAAUGGGCCUAUUUGUGGAAAUUGCAGGCAGCAAGGCAUCUACUCUGACUUCAUUUUAUGAAGUUGAAUGGAAGAGCAAGGUAAGAUUUUUAUAAGAAGGCGCUAUCAGGUAGAUACACAUUUGACACGGAGAGCGCUGAGCUAUCAACUCCUGCCAAGGGCAGCCAUAUAUUUUGUGUAUCUGGAGCAAAAUGAUAUUUGACACUUCAUUUCAAGACCAAGACAUCUUGAUGCUAAAGGAGAGGAUGAGAGCUAGAGCGGAGAACAUCCAAUUUGACAAAAUGGAUGUUACUGGCCCGAUCUUCCUUAUCCCUGUAAUUGUUGUGUGCUGCCAAGUCAUUUCUGAAUGAUGGUGACCCUAAAGUGAACCUAUCAUGAGGUUUUCUACCAGAAUUUUGUUCCGAGGACCUUCAUUUGAGGCUGAGAAUGUGCGACUUGUCCAAGGACACCCAGGGGACUUUCUUUCUAAGCAUUUUAUAGCUAGCUAGUAGGCAUGGACGAAUUUAUCAGAAUUGUUGUUAAUCGUAAUAAAAUCAUAUCUAUUUUGGGUUCUGAACCGAGUUCUGAGGUGGUUUGGUGCUUCGAAUUUAACUUUCAAUUUGAAGCGUUGACGCCCAUGCCUCGGAAUACCUUUGGAUAACCUUCGGAUAUAUGAGAAAGUGUUUUAAUUCAACCAAUCUCCUGGCUAGCAUUGGGGUUUAAGAGCCCCAUAGAAACCAAGCCUGGAUGGUUUUCUCUCCUGACUAUCCGGGAGAGAAAAUCCCCUUCCCUUCCUGGUUGGUUUCUAUGGGGCUCUUAAGCCUGGUGCUACCCAGGAGAGAAAUCCCCCUUCCCUGCCUGGGGCAUUUCUAUGGGGAUCUUAAACUCGCUCAGAUCCAAAAAAAUUGGGAAUUCACCAAAAAUCUGAGGAUAAAUCAGUAAGUUCAAGAAUGUAUACCGCAUUGAUAAGCAGGUUGUACUGUAUUUGGUUUUCCUCAGCCCCUCUUCCAAUGACCUUGUGAGCUAGAACUUUAAUCUUCAUAACACAGUAACAAGACUGUUGCAUUACAUUAUUGCUGAAACUACUGGUAUACCUUUCCCCUCUUACAAAAAAAUAAAAACCCACAAUUUAAUAA